GUAGGGAAUAUUGGACAAUGGGGGCAACCCUGAUCCAGCGACGCCGCGUGAGUGAUGAAGGCCUUCGGGUCGUAAAGCUCUGUUGCAGGGGAAGAACACAAUGACGGUACCCUGCUAGAAAGGAUCGGCUAACUUCGUGCCAGCAGCCGCGGUAAGACGAGGGAUCCUAGCGUUGUUCGGAAUUAUUGGGCGUAAAGCGGGUGCAGGUGGCUUGGUAAGUCAGAUGUGAAAGCCUGGGGCUUAACCCCAGAAGUGCAUUUGAUACUGCUGAGCUUGAGUGCUGGAGAGGCUAUUAGAAUUCCUGGUGUAGUAGUGAAAUACGUAGAUAUCAGGAGGAAUACCGGAGGCGAAGGCGGAUAGCUGGCCAGACACUGACACUCAGACCCGAAAGCGUGGGGAUCAAACAGGAUUAGAAACCCUAGUAGUCC
Molecule: ribosomal RNA, 428 nt
Filed under: uncultured bacterium
Lineage: Bacteria
Description: partial 16S ribosomal RNA
Rfam family: Bacterial small subunit ribosomal RNA
Source: RNAcentral